UGCAUUUUCUCAUCCUCCUCAAGAUUCUUAGCAAUAAAAUGGAGGCUUUUGCGGAUGUAGAACUUUUUUCUUAUAUGCACGCAUCGUAGUCAAGCCAUCCAAUUGACCAUUAGCAACAGUGAUAACAGCAAUUGUCAUGCAACUGUAAUCUUGUAUGCCUCUUUUCAGGGAUGAUCCGGUUCUUCCAUAGCGAAGAUGCCUUGUGCCUCAUUGCUUGAUCUUCGACACUAACCAAGUUACGACAUAGUCAACAAAAGAAAAGGACAAAAAAAUAUAGCGGGCUCUUUCUUAAUUCUUCCGCUAUAUAUGUUUAUGCGAGGAGAUCUUGCAGGUGACAUUUGCUUGAGACAACCUGCUAGUA
RNAcentral lists this long non-coding RNA (361 nucleotides) under Eucalyptus grandis. Its description in RNAcentral is "long non-coding RNA (EGRA_LNC007100)". The record is from RNAcentral. Lineage: Eukaryota; Viridiplantae; Streptophyta; Magnoliopsida; Myrtales; Myrtaceae.